RNAcentral lists this unclassified non-coding RNA (483 nucleotides) under Leguminivora glycinivorella. RNAcentral describes it as "uncharacterized LOC125232042, transcript variant X2". Lineage: Eukaryota; Metazoa; Arthropoda; Insecta; Lepidoptera; Tortricidae. The record is from RNAcentral.
UCAUCAUUAAACAUUUGGUCCUUCGAGCCGGAUCCGUUGAAAAGUUACCUAUUUUUAGUAAAAUAUCAAAUUUGUCGUGUCGUAAUAUUUUUCUAAUAAAUUGGUGGGUAAAACUUUUAAUUCUCGAUUCGGUUAAUGGCUGACCGGAAGUGUGACUUUUAUAGUAGAAUUUAGUUAGGUUGGUAGCAGUGUGACAGUUCGUUCAAUCCGCUCAUCUCGUUCGGUCUUAGUCUAUGCUUUGGUGUAUGGCAACAAUUCGGUUGUCAUCUCAUCUGUCAUUGUCAAAGUCAACAAGUUAAUUUUAUUGAGUAACGUAAACUGUUUAUUUAUAUUUUCGUUCUCGUUUUUCGAUAAAUCAACAGUGAUUAUUACGUGAAAAAUGUCGGACAUUGAUGUGAGCAAUAGAGACGUUGACAUGGAUAGGGUUGAACGCAAUUACGCGGUUAUGCGUUAAAGUCACAUUUUCCCAACAAUUAUCGUUAA